AUUGAACGCUGGCGGCAGGCCUAACACAUGCAAGUCGAGCGGAUGAAGGGAGCUUGCUCCUGGAUUCAGCGGCGGACGGGUGAGUAAUGCCUAGGAAUCUGCCUGGUAGUGGGGGAUAACGUCCGGAAACGGGCGCUAAUACCGCAUACGUCCUGAGGGAGAAAGUGGGGGAUCUUCGGACCUCACGCUAUCAGAUGAGCCUAGGUCGGAUUAGCUAGUUGGUGGGGUAAAGGCCUACCAAGGCGACGAUCCGUAACUGGUCUGAGAGGAUGAUCAGUCACACUGGAACUGAGACACGGUCCAGACUCCUACGGGAGGCAGCAGUGGGGAAUAUUGGACAAUGGGCGAAAGCCUGAUCCAGCCAUGCCGCGUGUGUGAAGAAGGUCUUCGGAUUGUAAAGCACUUUAAGUUGGGAGGAAGGGCAGUAAGUUAAUACCUUGCUGUUUGGACGUUACCAACAGAAUAAGCACGGCUAACUUCGUG
This 483-nucleotide ribosomal RNA is filed under the name uncultured bacterium. Its description in RNAcentral is "partial 16S ribosomal RNA". It matches the Rfam family "Bacterial small subunit ribosomal RNA", at positions 30 to 507 of the family's 1533-position model. The record is from RNAcentral.